UUUGGCACUAGCACAUUUUUGUGUUUAUUUUUACAACAAAAAUUGUACUAGUGUCAAGCA
RNAcentral lists this microRNA precursor (60 nucleotides) under Limulus polyphemus (Atlantic horseshoe crab). RNAcentral's name for it is "Lpo-Mir-96-P1s_pre stem-loop". The record is from RNAcentral. Lineage: Eukaryota; Metazoa; Arthropoda; Merostomata; Xiphosura; Limulidae.